Molecule: ribosomal RNA, 547 nt
Filed under: Klebsiella pneumoniae subsp. pneumoniae Ecl8
Lineage: Bacteria; Pseudomonadati; Pseudomonadota; Gammaproteobacteria; Enterobacterales; Enterobacteriaceae
Rfam family: Bacterial large subunit ribosomal RNA
Source: RNAcentral
GGUUAAGCGACUAAGCGUACACGGUGGAUGCCCUGGCAGUCAGAGGCGAUGAAGGACGUGCUAAUCUGCGAAAAGCGUCGGUAAGGUGAUAUGAACCGUUAUAACCGGCGAUGUCCGAAUGGGGAAACCCAGUGCAAUUCGUUGCACUAUCGUUAACUGAAUACAUAGGUUAACGAGGCGAACCGGGGGAACUGAAACAUCUAAGUACCCCGAGGAAAAGAAAUCAACCGAGAUUCCCCCAGUAGCGGCGAGCGAACGGGGAGCAGCCCAGAGUCUGAAUCAGCUUGUGUGUUAGUGGAACGGUCUGGAAAGUCCGACGGUACAGGGUGAUAGUCCCGUACACCAAAAUGCACAGGCUGUGAACUCGAAGAGUAGGGCGGGACACGUGGUAUCCUGUCUGAAUAUGGGGGGACCAUCCUCCAAGGCUAAAUACUCCUGACUGACCGAUAGUGAACCAGUACCGUGAGGGAAAGGCGAAAAGAACCCCGGCGAGGGGAGUGAAAAAGAACCUGAAACCGUGUACGUAAAAGCAGUGGGAGCACCUUCG